UUCUCUCUGUGUGAACGUAAUUAAUAAAUUAAAUUAUCACUAAUCAUAUAUUUAAUCACAAGACAAAUCUCUCAUGAAAAACAAAAUUUGAAAUGUUUCUUCUCUUUUCUUUUUGCGAUUUUUUCCAAAUUUUGUUUUCAUUUCCAGGCCACCAUUAAUUUUGUUCUUUUCUAUUGUUUAUUUUUUCUGUUGUUCUAAUAAACUCUCUCUCUCUCUCUCUCUCUCACCCUAAACCUGAGACUCCCUACCCAGCUCCCUACAUAAGCUCUCCUCUCUUACAUCAGUCUCGUCGACAACAACUUUGAGUCUUUGUUUUGUCUCUGCAGCCUCUUUUGCUGGGUUUUGAUGAACGAACCCACUCAUCCUAUUCAUCUGUAACCUUUCAGAAGGUCUCGGUUUUUCUCAUU
Long non-coding RNA from Telopea speciosissima, 407 nucleotides. RefSeq lists it as uncharacterized. The record is from RefSeq and is a predicted model, not a curated record. NCBI's taxonomy places the organism in Eukaryota, Viridiplantae, Streptophyta, Magnoliopsida, Proteales, Proteaceae. The transcript has 3 exons.